RNAcentral lists this transfer RNA (72 nucleotides) under Araeosoma owstoni. RNAcentral's name for it is "tRNA-Asn". It matches the Rfam family "tRNA". Rfam says of the family: Transfer RNA (tRNA) molecules are approximately 80 nucleotides in length. Their secondary structure includes four short double-helical elements and three loops (D, anti-codon, and T loops). The record is from RNAcentral. Lineage: Eukaryota; Metazoa; Echinodermata; Echinoidea; Echinothurioida; Echinothuriidae.
UGAAUGGUAGCUAAAUGAAAAGGCACUUGGCCGUUAACCAAGAGACAAUAGGAUAAAAACCUAUCCACUCAG